This 507-nucleotide ribosomal RNA is filed under the name uncultured bacterium. Its description in RNAcentral is "partial 16S ribosomal RNA". It matches the Rfam family "Bacterial small subunit ribosomal RNA", at positions 28 to 523 of the family's 1533-position model. The record is from RNAcentral.
GAUGAACGCUAGCUACAGGCUUAACACAUGCAAGUCGAGGGGAAACGACAUUGAAAGCUUGCUUUUGAUGGGCGUCGACCGGCGCACGGGUGAGUAACGCGUAUCCAACCUGCCCACCACUUGGGGAAACCUUGCGAAAGUAAGACUAAUACCCAAUAAUAUCUCUAGAAGACAUCUGAAAGGGAUUAAAGAUUUAUCGGUGAUGGAUGGGGAUGCGUCUGAUUAGCUUGUUGGCGGGGUAACGGCCCACCAAGGCGACGAUCAGUAGGGGUUCUGAGAGGAAGGUCCCCCACAUUGGAACUGAGACACGGUCCAAACUCCUACGGGAGGCAGCAGUGAGGAAUAUUGGUCAAUGGACGAGAGUCUGAACCAGCCAAGUAGCGUGCAGGAUGACGGCCCUAUGGGUUGUAAACUGCUUUUAUAAGGGAAUAAAGUGAGUCUCGUGAGACUUUUUGCAUGUACCUUAUGAAUAAGGACCGGCUAAUUCCGUGCCAGCAGCCGCAGUAA